GGUCUCGUGGCGCUGACCUGCGCAGACGCACCCCAGGCGCCACGCUUACACCGUGGACGUCGGGGGUUCGAGUCCCUCCGGGCCCA
RNAcentral lists this transfer RNA (86 nucleotides) under Flavimobilis rhizosphaerae. Its description in RNAcentral is "tRNA-Val". It matches the Rfam family "tRNA". Rfam says of the family: Transfer RNA (tRNA) molecules are approximately 80 nucleotides in length. Their secondary structure includes four short double-helical elements and three loops (D, anti-codon, and T loops). The record is from RNAcentral. Lineage: Bacteria; Bacillati; Actinomycetota; Actinomycetes; Micrococcales; Jonesiaceae.